RNAcentral lists this ribosomal RNA (421 nucleotides) under Chironius monticola. RNAcentral's name for it is "partial 16S ribosomal RNA". It matches the Rfam family "Bacterial large subunit ribosomal RNA", at positions 1908 to 2550 of the family's 2925-position model. Lineage: Eukaryota; Metazoa; Chordata; Lepidosauria; Squamata; Colubridae. The record is from RNAcentral.
CCCAGUGAACAAUUAAACGGCCGCGGUACCCUAACCGUGCAAAGGUAGCAUAAUCAUUUGUCUACUAAUUAUAGACCUGCAUGAAAGGCAAAAUGAGGGUUUAACUGUCUCUUAUAAUGAAUCAAUUAAACUGAUCUCCUAGUAAAAAAGCUAGAAUUUCCACAUAAGACCAGAAGACCCUGUGAAGCUUAAACUAAAUUAUUAAACCAUAUAAUAACCACUUUCGGUUGGGGCGACCUUGGAAAAAAAAAGAACUUCCAAAAACCAUGACUAUCAUACCACCUAGGCCUACCAGCCAAUAAACGACCCAGCACAGCUGAUCAAUGAACCAAGUUACUCCAGGGAUAACAGCGCAAUCCUCUUCAAGAGCCCAUAUCAAAAAGAGGGUUUACGACCUCGAUGUUGGAUCAGGACAUCCUAA